GCCCACACCCGCCCUGCCCCGCCCACACCCGCCCGGACCCGCCCACACCCGCCCCGGGUGAGCGGAGCUUGCCUCCCUGGCGCCGCUGGCCACAGGUGGUGAGCGCGCAAGGCCACGGCUGCCCGCUGGCCCGGAGACUGCGGCGCAUGGUCCGGGCCACUCGUCUGAGCCGCGGACCCGGGCGUCUCUCAGGCAGCAGAGCGGCCACUAGGUACCCGACACCCGUGUGCGGGGAGCACCACUGGCCCUUCCCUACGGGAGAACUGGACCAGAUCCGGGCCGGCCGUGGGUCCCAUCUGCUCCUCUUCUGUGUGAGUUCUCCCCCUCCCCGGUUUCUGGAUGCCGCUCUGCUUACUGCCCCGCUUCCCUUCUUCCUCCCCAGGCUCGAGCUGAUCCUCCCCCUCCAAGCUUGUCCCCCUCUGGGCUUUUGCACUUGCUGUCCCCCUGCCUGGAACCCUCUUCCCCCAGAUCUGCGUGUGGGUCCCCGUCGCCUCUUUGGGUCUCUGCUCAGUGUCCACUCCUCGGAGAGGCCUUGCCGGCCUCGGACAGGUGUGCCGCCCUCCAGCCCCUCACCAAGCCCUGCCUUUGAUUCCUAGUCUUGCUCGCGGGGCUGAUCGCUGCCUGAAAUGGGCCCCUCCUCCUCCCUGUCUCCCCCACGCCCUCCCCGGGCUUCCUGGGGUCACCUCCCAAAUAACCCACUUGCCCUCAAAUCCUUGCCUCAGGGCUGCCUCUGGAAGAACUCAACCUAAGACAGCUAGAGAAGAUUCCAGAAGAUUUCAGAUCUGGGGCAAGGACACCCAGUAGUGCUGGGUACCCUCUGCCGCCCCCACCAGAAGCCACCUCACGUCACUGGGCCACACUGGGGGAUCCCGGCCGGCCCUGGGCUUCAGAUGGGGGCGGAGGGCCCCCCACCGGCUCCCCUGCUUUGCCCAGUGCCAUGGCUGUCCAAGGAUGCUCAGUGCUGCUGGCAAACCAGCGCUGUUCCACCUUCCAGCGCCUCGUCCCCUUUCCACAGCCGGCUUCUCUGCCAGGCUGGGCCUCACGGUGCUGGGGACACAGCCGCCGGGUACCACGGAAACGUUUGCUGGAAGAGUUUGAAUUCAGGAGAUGGAGUCUAACAGCAACGGAUCGGGGCAGACGGAUGGUCCACACUUGUGUGUUCUCCAGUCAUCAUGUACCUCGGACGCCGUCCCGGACAGCACGCCAGACCCGCCUCGUGACGGCCGGGUGCCUGCAGGGCACGGGAAGACGUGCUUUGAGAGGACGAGGGGACUUGCCUGGAAUGUUCUGCCUGAAAGUCACCACGCUCAGUUCCCCUCCCAUCUCUUCUGGCUCCUCGGUCUGGGUCUUGGGACCCACACGGACCUAGUGUCCGCCAGGCGCACAGUGGGGCAGGCCGAGGGUCUCAGGCCUCAGCCAUCAACAGGCCAUGGAGAACACCGCUGAAGCCAGCCUCCAGCCUGGAGCCAGCUCUGCGGGCUGUCACACGGGCACAGGGAGUCUUUUCCGAGCCUUGCCCACCCCCUGCAGGAGUCUGGGGUGCCACGCAGCCACCCAUCUCCAGGGCAAGGAUCCUGGGCCUGCGGGGCGGGCCCUGAUUGGUGGGGCCCCUGGGGGCUGUCCCCUGUCCCAUGACUGGCUCUGGUGGUGCACCUGCGGCCUCAAGACCCACUCAGUGCCCACAGGUCAAACUCGGCGGGGGGCAGAGCAGGGCGCCACCCGUCUGCCUGAUAAAGUCUUAUCAGCACACAGAGGCGCUCAUUUGUCUACACACGUCUGCAGCUGCUUUUGCACUGGGACAACAGAGGUGAAUGGUUGCAGCAGGCUGUCCGCCCUGAAGUUGGGAAUAUUGCCAUGUGGACCUUUCCGGAAAGAGUUUGCUGACGGCUGUGCAAGUGCGUGCUGGUAGCAUCUUCAUUACCGGCGCCUCCCCUGUGGGUGGUGUUCUGCUGACCCGUGGCGUGGAUGGAGCCCCACUGGCCUCGGCAGCAACACGUCCCACCCGGCAGCGGUCACCUCCCUUUCCUGACUCACGUCUGUUCUCACCGUCACAGUUCCCUGGACUGGCUUCCCAGAUACACUGCUUGCACUCGAAUUCGUGCCUCCUGGUUGGGAGAACCCAGAACAGUUCCUUCCGCUGGAAAAGAGACACGUUGGAGGCGGCCUCUCCUUCCACCAGAGUCUGUCAUUUCUGCACGUGACACCCAGAGUUUGGGAAGCUGACCCGGGACGAUGAGGGGAGGCAGCUUCAGGACAAAGCCGAGACGCGGGGACGGCAGGAGACCCUGCGUUGGCGAGGCCAUCGGGCCACUGAAUUAACCGGCCAGGCGCUGCCUGACCUUGAACCCCCUGUUCUGUGGGACGAUGACGAGGAUAAUGGUGUAGGUCAGCGCCAGGAGGGGUCUGCGUCUUCCUGUCUGGUCGACAGCGAGGCCUGGAGAGGGUGGGGGCGCUGUCCGGUAGCAUAAACGCUGGCUGUCGCCCCCUGGUUGGCUGAGGUCGGAGGGGAGGUCUCAAGAUGUGGCAUCUGAGCUGCGUUAGGGGACGUGGACGUCAGCGGGUGAAGAACGGAGGGCAUAGCCGUCUGGGGAGCAGGAACAGCGAGCCAGAGGCCCCGGGAUGGGCAAACCUGUGGCGCAUUCAGGGAAUGGGCCCUGAGAGCCGCCGGGGCCAGCAGGGGCGAGCGGGCACGCGAGUUGGUUUGGACUUUAUUCUAAAGGCCGCAGGCAGUCGUGGAAGGCUUUUGGUCUGAUUUACAUUUUAAGAGGAUGGCUCUGCACCAAACUCCCACACACUGGUGGUGGGAGGGGAUAUGAGAAAACUGUUGCAUUACAUCUAUAAAAGCUGAAUAUUCACUUCUCUGUGACAGAGCAACUCCAUUCCCAGGCAAACAACCCCAGACUGGAAACGACCCAAAAGCCCAUGAGAGUAGAAUGGACAGAUUAAUUGUGGUGGAGUCAGAUUGUGGAAUACUACGCAGCCAUGAAAAAGAGAAAACCAUUGCUACUUGCAGCGACGUGGAUGAGUCUCGCAAACUUAGUCCUGGAGAAAAGAAGCAAGCACAGAACACACGUUGUCUGACUUGUUAUAUGAAGUUCCAGAACAGGCAACACUAUUCUGUGAGGAUAGAAACUGGGAUAAUGGUUAUCCCUGGGCAAGGAGUAGUGGCUGGAAGGGAAACGAGGGGUCUCUGGGAGCUGGGGAUAUGCUGUUCUUGACCUGGGGCUGCUCACACGGAGUGUUCACGUUAUGGAAGUUCACAGAGCUGCACGCUUAGGAUGCGCACGCUGUGUGGUGUGUUUGUUAUGCGCAAUAGGAAAGAUUUGUAAAGGUCAAUAAAACCAGCUCACUGCAGCACAGCACGUGGACAGCGGCACGGCCGUGCCCAACUCUGUCUGUCCUGUCGGGCCAGCCCCUGAGCUGGAACCUGAGCACACAGAGCUGAGGAAGACGCACAGAGUUGGCCCCCACAGAGUUCGCAGGCUGUGGGAGAAAAGAGACAAAUAAAUCUACUCAACAAAAUAAGAAAGCGCCCACUAGGAGCUCCGGGAGAGUUCUUCUUUGGUAGCUUCUGAGCAGGGUUUUGCAGGAUGAAUAGGAGUUUUCUGUAAGAGUGGGAUGGCAGACCAGGCAGGGGAAAAGUAUGUGCAAAGGCCUG
Molecule: long non-coding RNA, 3658 nt
Filed under: Equus caballus (horse)
Lineage: Eukaryota; Metazoa; Chordata; Mammalia; Perissodactyla; Equidae
Description: lncRNA (ENSECAG00000044006.1)
Source: RNAcentral